UACGAAGGGGACUAGCGUUGUUCGGAAUCACUGGGCGUAAAGCGCACGUAGGCGGAUUUGUAAGUCAGGGGUGAAAUCCCGGGGCUCAACCUCGGAACUGCCUUUGAUACUGGGUAUCUCGAGUCCGGAAGAGGUGAGUGGAAUUCCGAGUGUAAAGGUGAAAUUCGUAGAUAUUGGGAAGAACACCGGUGGCGAAGGCGGCUCACUGGCUCGUAACUGACGCUCAUGCACGACAGCGUGGGGAUCAAACAGG
RNAcentral lists this ribosomal RNA (253 nucleotides) under uncultured bacterium. Its description in RNAcentral is "partial 16S ribosomal RNA". It matches the Rfam family "Bacterial small subunit ribosomal RNA", at positions 524 to 776 of the family's 1533-position model. The record is from RNAcentral.